CAAGGGACAGCAGAGAUGAAUCCUAUGAAGGCCGCAUUCCUGCCACUUCCCUGCUGGGGCCAGCUGUCAAGCAGGCAGUUUCAUCCUCCACCCCCUGGAGCCUCCCUUUCCUUCUUUGGAAAAGCACAAAACUUCAAGUGUCGUGCAGAGAAGAUGUACUCCAUGAACUUUACCUCAGAUGGGAUGCCCUGGACCCAACAGCACAGAAGACACCAGGUCACAGACAUCGUAGAAUGCUCAAGAGGCUUGCCAUGCAAAGCAAAGGUUCAGCUUGCGACAUGGCUAGCCAAGAGCCAUGGACUCACUAAUCUGCCUCAGCUGACCAAAUGUUGGAUUUACAGUCAUACACCGUCUGGCUGUUUAUUAUUCUUAGUGAAAAAAAACCAGAGUUUUUAAAAGUAAAAUAAAUUUAGGGGGAAAAAAACCCCGAAAUUAUGGUGGCACUGUAAUCUGAACACCUAGUCCAUAUUUCUCUGGUGUCUUUCUAUAAUUAAUAUUCUUGCCUGUUGUGGUAACACACCUUUAAUCCCAGCACUCCAAGUAGAGAUGGUAAGAUCUAUGUGGGUUCAA
Molecule: long non-coding RNA, 570 nt
Organism: Psammomys obesus (fat sand rat)
Lineage: Eukaryota; Metazoa; Chordata; Mammalia; Rodentia; Muridae
Exons: 3
Source: RefSeq, a predicted model, not a curated record